AGUGAACGCUGGCGGUAGGCCUAACACAUGCAAGUCGAACGGCAGCACAGUAAGAGCUUGCUCUUACGGGUGGCGAGUGGCGGACGGGCGAGGAAUACAUCGGAAUCUACUUUUUCGUGGGGGAUAACGUAGGGAAACUUACGCUAAUACCGCAUACGACCUACGGGUGAAAGCAGGGGAUCUUCGGACCUUGCGCGAUUGAAUGAGCCGAUGUCGGAUUAGCUAGUUGGCGGGGUAAAGGCCCACCAAGGCGACGAUCCGUAGCUGGUCUGAGAGGAUGAUCAGCCACACUGGAACUGAGACCCGGUCCAGACUCCUACGGGAGGCAGCAGUGGGGAAUAUUGGACAAUGGGCGCAAGCCUGAUCCAGCCAUACCGCGUGGGUGAAGAAGGCCUUCGGGUUGUAAAGCCCUUUUGUUGGGAAAGAACAGCAGCAGGUUAAUACCCCGCUGUUCUGACGGUACCCAAAGAAUAAGCACCGGCUAACUUCGUG
Molecule: ribosomal RNA, 492 nt
Filed under: uncultured bacterium
Lineage: Bacteria
Description: partial 16S ribosomal RNA
Rfam family: Bacterial small subunit ribosomal RNA
Source: RNAcentral